GACGAACGCUGGCGGCGUGCUUAACACAUGCAAGUCGAACGAUGAAGCCGGAGCUUGCUCUGGUGAAUUAGUGGCGAACGGGUGAGUAACACGUGAGUAACCUGCCCUUGACUCUGGGAUAACUGCUAGAAAUGGUCGCUAAUACCGGAUACGACCCUCGGCGGCAUCGCCAGGGGGUGGAAAGAAUUUCGGUCAAGGAUGGACUCGCGGCCUCUCAGCUAGUUGGUGAGGUAACGGCUCACCAAGGCGACGAGGGGUAGCCGGCCGGAGAGGGUGACCGGCCACACUGGGACUGAGACACGGCCCAGACUCCUACGGGAGGCAGCAGUGGGGAAUAUUGCACAAUGGGCGCAAGCCUGAUGCAGCAACGCCGCGUGAGGGAUGACGGCCUUCGGGUUGUAAACCUCUUUUAGUAGGGAAGAAGCGAAAGUGACGGUACCUGCAGAAAAAGCACCGGCUAACUACGUGCCAGCCGCCGCCGUAA
Molecule: ribosomal RNA, 484 nt
Filed under: uncultured bacterium
Lineage: Bacteria
Description: partial 16S ribosomal RNA
Rfam family: Bacterial small subunit ribosomal RNA
Source: RNAcentral